This 460-nucleotide ribosomal RNA is filed under the name uncultured bacterium. Its description in RNAcentral is "partial 16S ribosomal RNA". It matches the Rfam family "Bacterial small subunit ribosomal RNA", at positions 338 to 795 of the family's 1533-position model. The record is from RNAcentral.
CCUACGGGUGGCAGCAGUGAGGAAUAUUGGUCAAUGGCCGGAAGGCUGAACCAGCCAAGCCGCGUGAGGGAGGAAGGCGCAGAGCGUCGCAGACCUCUUUUGCCGGGGGACAAAAGGCCGGACUCGUCCGGUCCUGAGGGUACCCGGAGAAAAAGCAUCGGCGAACUACGUGCCAGCAGCCGCGGGAAUACGUAGGGGGCAAGCGUUAUCCGGAUUUACUGGGGGGAAAGGGGGCGCAGACGGCAAUGCGAGCCAGGAGUGAAAGUCCGGGGCCCAACCCCGGGACUGCUCUUGGAACUGCAUGGCUGGAGUACAGGAGGGGCAGGCGGAAUUCCUAGUGUAGCGGUGAAAUGCGUAGAUAUUAGGAGGAACACCGGUGGCGAAGGCGGCCUGCUGGACUGUGACUGACGUUGAGGCCCGAAGGCGUGGGGAGCAAACAGGAUUAGAUACCCGGGUAGUC